CCCUUAGAUGUCCUGGGCCGCACGCGCGCUACACUGAUGCAUGCAACGAGUUUAUAACCUUGGCCUGAAAGGUCUGGGUAAUCUUUUGAACGUGCAUCGUGAUAGGGAUAGAUUAUUGCAAUUGUUAAUCUUGAACGAGGAAUUCCUAGUAAACGCGAGUCAUCAGCUCGCAUUGAUUACGUCCCUGCCCUUUGUACACACCACCCGUCGCACCUACCGAUUGAAUGGUUCGGUGAAGAUCUCGGACUUCGAUAUUUAUUCUUUAUUGAGUUUAUAUUGUGGGAAGUUAUCUAAACCUCAUCAUUUAGAGGAAGGUGAAGUCGUAACA
RNAcentral lists this ribosomal RNA (328 nucleotides) under uncultured eukaryote. Its description in RNAcentral is "partial 18S ribosomal RNA". It matches the Rfam family "Eukaryotic small subunit ribosomal RNA", at positions 1470 to 1796 of the family's 1831-position model. The record is from RNAcentral.